CGGACGGGUGAGUAACGCGUGGAAAACCUGCCGUAUACUGGGGGAUAACAUUUAGGAAAUAGGUGCUAAUACCGCAUAAGCGCACAGCUUCGCAUGAAGCGGUGUGAAAAACUCUGGUGGUAUACGAUGGUUCCGCGUCUGAUUAGCUAGUUGGUGGGGUAAUGGCCUACCAAGGCAACGAUCAGUAGCCGGCCUGAGAGGGUGAACGGCCACCAUUGGGACUGAGACACGGCCCAAACUCCUACGGGAGGCAGCAG
Molecule: ribosomal RNA, 257 nt
Filed under: uncultured bacterium
Lineage: Bacteria
Description: partial 16S ribosomal RNA
Rfam family: Bacterial small subunit ribosomal RNA
Source: RNAcentral